GAUUAAGUUAUUAAGGGCGCACGGUGGAUGCCUUGGCACUAGAAGCCGAUGAAGGACGUUACUAACGACGAUAUGCUUUGGGGAGCUGUAAGUAAGCUUUGAUCCAGAGAUUUCCGAAUGGGGAAACCCAGCAUGAGUUAUGUCAUGUUAUCGAUAUGUGAAUACAUAGCAUAUCAGAAGGCACACCCGGAGAACUGAAACAUCUUAGUACCCGGAGGAAGAGAAAGAAAAUUCGAUUCCCUUAGUAGCGGCGAGCGAAACGGGAAGAGCCCAAACCAACAAGCUUGCUUGUUGGGGUUGUAGGACACUCUAUACGGAGUUACAAAGGACGACAUUAGACGAAUCAUCUGGAAAGAUGAAUCAAAGAAGGUAAUAAUCCUGUAGUCGAAAAUGUUGUCUCUCUUGAGUGGAUCCUGAGUACGACGGAGCACGUGAAAUUCCGUCGGAAUCUGGGAGGACCAUCUCCUAAGGCUAAAUACUCUCUAGUGACCGAUAGUGAACCAGUACCGUGAGGGAAAGGUGAAAAGCACCCCGGAAGGGGAGUGAAAUAGAACCUGAAACCGUGUGCUUACAAGUAGUCAGAGCCCGUUAAUGGGUGAUGGCGUGCCUUUUGUAGAAUGAACCGGCGAGUUACGAUUUGAUGCAAGGUUAAGCAGUAAAUGUGGAGCCGUAGCGAAAGCGAGUCUGAAUAGGGCGUUUAGUAUUUGGUCGUAGACCCGAAACCAGGUGAUCUACCCUUGGUCAGGUUGAAGUUCAGGUAACACUGAAUGGAGGACCGAACCGACUUACGUUGAAAAGUGAGCGGAUGAACUGAGGGUAGCGGAGAAAUUCCAAUCGAACCUGGAGAUAGCUGGUUCUCUCCGAAAUAGCUUUAGGGCUAGCCUCAAGUGAUGAUUAUUGGAGGUAGAGCACUGUUUGGACGAGGGGCCCCUCUCGGGUUACCGAAUUCAGACAAACUCCGAAUGCCAAUUAAUUUAACUUGGGAGUCAGAACAUGGGUGAUAAGGUCCAUGUUCGAAAGGGAAACAGCCCAGACCACCAGCUAAGGUCCCAAAAUAUAUGUUAAGUGGAAAAGGAUGUGGCGUUGCCCAGACAACUAGGAUGUUGGCUUAGAAGCAGCCAUCAUUUAAAGAGUGCGUAAUAGCUCACUAGUCGAGUGACACUGCGCCGAAAAUGUACCGGGGCUAAACAUAUUACCGAAGCUGUGGAUUGUCCUUUGGACAAUGGUAGGAGAGCGUUCUAAGGGCGUUGAAGCAUGAUCGUAAGGACAUGUGGAGCGCUUAGAAGUGAGAAUGCCGGUGUGAGUAGCGAAAGACGGGUGAGAAUCCCGUCCACCGAUUGACUAAGGUUUCCAGAGGAAGGCUCGUCCGCUCUGGGUUAGUCGGGUCCUAAGCUGAGGCCGACAGGCGUAGGCGAUGGAUAACAGGUUGAUAUUCCUGUACCACCUAUAAUCGUUUUAAUCGAUGGGGGGACGCAGUAGGAUAGGCGAAGCGUGCGAUUGGAUUGCACGUCUAAGCAGUAAGGCUGAGUAUUAGGCAAAUCCGGUACUCGUUAAGGCUGAGCUGUGAUGGGGAGAAGACAUUGUGUCUUCGAGUCGUUGAUUUCACACUGCCGAGAAAAGCCUCUAGAUAGAAAAUAGGUGCCCGUACCGCAAACCGACACAGGUAGUCAAGAUGAGAAUUCUAAGGUGAGCGAGCGAACUCUCGUUAAGGAACUCGGCAAAAUGACCCCGUAACUUCGGGAGAAGGGGUGCUCUUUAGGGUUAACGCCCAGAAGAGCCGCAGUGAAUAGGCCCAAGCGACUGUUUAUCAAAAACACAGGUCUCUGCUAAACCGUAAGGUGAUGUAUAGGGGCUGACGCCUGCCCGGUGCUGGAAGGUUAAGAGGAGUGGUUAGCUUCUGCGAAGCUACGAAUCGAAGCCCCAGUAAACGGCGGCCGUAACUAUAACGGUCCUAAGGUAGCGAAAUUCCUUGUCGGGUAAGUUCCGACCCGCACGAAAGGCGUAACGAUUUGGGCACUGUCUCAACGAGAGACUCGGUGAAAUCAUAGUACCUGUGAAGAUGCAGGUUACCCGCGACAGGACGGAAAGACCCCGUGGAGCUUUACUGUAGCCUGAUAUUGAAAUUCGGCACAGCUUGUACAGGAUAGGUAGGAGCCUUUGAAACGUGAGCGCUAGCUUACGUGGAGGCGCUGGUGGGAUACUACCCUAGCUG
Molecule: ribosomal RNA, 2212 nt
Filed under: Staphylococcus aureus
Lineage: Bacteria; Bacillati; Bacillota; Bacilli; Caryophanales; Staphylococcaceae
Description: partial 23S ribosomal RNA
Rfam family: Bacterial large subunit ribosomal RNA
Source: RNAcentral